AAAUUGAAGAGUUUGAUCAUGGCUCAGAUUGAACGCUGGCGGCAGGCCUAACACAUGCAAGUCGAGCGGAAACGAGUUAUCUGAACCUUCGGGGAACGAUAACGGCGUCGAGCGGCGGACGGGUGAGUAAUGCCUAGGAAAUUGCCCUGAUGUGGGGGAUAACCAUUGGAAACGAUGGCUAAUACCGCAUGAUGCCUACGGGCCAAAGAGGGGGACCUUCGGGCCUCUCGCGUCAGGAUAUGCCUAGGUGGGAUUAGCUAGUUGGUGAGGUAAGGGCUCACCAAGGCGACGAUCCCUAGCUGGUCUGAGAGGAUGAUCAGCCACACUGGAACUGAGACACGGUCCAGACUCCUACGGGAGGCAGCAGUGGGGAAUAUUGCACAAUGGGCGCAAGCCUGAUGCAGCCAUGCCGCGUGUGUGAAGAAGGCCUUCGGGUUGUAAAGCACUUUCAGUCGUGAGGAAGGCGGCGUCGUUAAUAGCGGCGUUGUUUGACGUUAGCGACAGAAGAAGCACCGGCUAACUCCGUGCCAGCAGCCGCGGUAAUACGGAGGGUGCGAGCGUUAAUCGGAAUUACUGGGCGUAAAGCGCAUGCAGGUGGUUUGUUAAGUCAGAUGUGAAAGCCCGGGGCUCAACCUCGGAAUUGCAUUUGAAACUGGCAGACUAGAGUACUGUAGAGGGGGGUAGAAUUUCAGGUGUAGCGGUGAAAUGCGUAGAGAUCUGAAGGAAUACCGGUGGCGAAGGCGGCCCCCUGGACAGAUACUGACACUCAG
This 770-nucleotide ribosomal RNA is filed under the name Vibrio parahaemolyticus. RNAcentral's name for it is "bacterial SSU rRNA". It matches the Rfam family "Bacterial small subunit ribosomal RNA", at positions 1 to 750 of the family's 1533-position model. The record is from RNAcentral. Lineage: Bacteria; Pseudomonadati; Pseudomonadota; Gammaproteobacteria; Vibrionales; Vibrionaceae.